Molecule: ribosomal RNA, 253 nt
Filed under: uncultured bacterium
Lineage: Bacteria
Description: partial 16S ribosomal RNA
Rfam family: Bacterial small subunit ribosomal RNA
Source: RNAcentral
UACGUAGGGGGCAAGCGUUGUCCGGAUUUAUUGGGCGUAAAGAGCGUGUAGGCGGCUUUACAGGUCCGUUGUGAAAGCCCGGAGCUCAACUUCGGAAUUGCCUUUAAGACUGCAUCGCUUGAAUCAUGGAGAGGUCAGUGGAAUUCCGAGUGUAGAGGUGAAAUUCGUAGAUAUUCGGAAGAACACCAGUGGCGAAGGCGACUGACUGGACAUGUAUUGACGCUGAGGUGCGAAAGCGUGGGGAGCAAACAGG